UACAGAGGUCUCAACCGUUGUUCGGAUUCAUUGGGCGUAAAGGGUGCGUAGGCGGUCGCGCAAGUCGGAUGUGAAAUCUUAGGGCUCAACCCUGAAACUGCAUUCGAUACUGCGUGGCUCGAGUACUGGAGAGGAGACUGGAAUUUACGGUGUAGCAGUGAAAUGCGUAGAUAUCGUAAGGAAGACCAGUGGCGAAGGCGAGUCUCUGGACAGUUACUGACGCUGAGACGCGAAAGCGUGGGGAGCAAACAGG
RNAcentral lists this ribosomal RNA (253 nucleotides) under uncultured bacterium. RNAcentral's name for it is "partial 16S ribosomal RNA". It matches the Rfam family "Bacterial small subunit ribosomal RNA", at positions 524 to 776 of the family's 1533-position model. The record is from RNAcentral.